AUUGAACGCUGGCGGCAGGCCUAACACAUGCCAGUCGAGCGGAUGAAGGGAGCUUGCUCCUGGAUUCAGCGGCGGACGGGUGAGUAAUGCCUAGGAAUCUGCCUGGUAGUGGGGGAUAACGUCCGGAAACGGGCGCUAAUACCGCAUACGUCCUGAGGGAGAAAGUGGGGGAUCUUCGGACCUCACGCUAUCAGAUGAGCCUAGGUCGGAUUAGCUAGUUGGUGGGGUAAAGGCCUACCAAGGCGACGAUCCGUAACUGGUCUGAGAGGAUGAUCAGUCACACUGGAACUGAGACACGGUCCAGACUCCUAAGGGAGGCAGCAGUGGGGAAUAUUGGACAAUGGGCGAAAGCCUGAUCCAGCCAUGCCGCGUGUGUGAAGAAGGUCUUCGGAUUGUAAAGCACUUUAAGUUGGGAGGAAGGGCAGUAAGUUAAUACCUUGCUGUUUUGACGUUACCAACAGAAUAAGCACCGGCUAACUUCGUG
This 484-nucleotide ribosomal RNA is filed under the name uncultured bacterium. RNAcentral's name for it is "partial 16S ribosomal RNA". It matches the Rfam family "Bacterial small subunit ribosomal RNA", at positions 30 to 507 of the family's 1533-position model. The record is from RNAcentral.